CCUACGGGGGGCAGCAGUGGGGAAUAUUGCACAAUGGGCGCAAGCCUGAUGCAGCCAUGCCGCGUGUGUGAAGAAGGCCUUCGGGUUGUAAAGCACUUUCAGCGGGGAGGAAGGCGGUGAGGUUAAUAACCUCAUCGAUUGACGUUACCCGCAGAAGAAGCACCGGCUAACUCCGUGCCAGCAGCCGCGGUAAUACGGAGGGUGCAAGCGUUAAUCGGAAUUACUGGGCGUAAAGCGCACGCAGGCGGUCUGUCAAGUCGGAUGUGAAAUCCCCGGGCUCAACCUGGGAACUGCAUUCGAAACUGGCAGGCUAGAGUCUUGUAGAGGGGGGUAGAAUUCCAGGUGUAGCGGUGAAAUGCGUAGAGAUCUGGAGGAAUACCGGUGGCGAAGGCGGCCCCCUGGACAAAGACUGACGCUCAGGUGCGAAAGCGUGGGGAGCAAACAGGAUUAGUACCCGAGUAGUC
This 464-nucleotide ribosomal RNA is filed under the name uncultured Klebsiella sp. RNAcentral describes it as "bacterial SSU rRNA". It matches the Rfam family "Bacterial small subunit ribosomal RNA", at positions 338 to 795 of the family's 1533-position model. The record is from RNAcentral. Lineage: Bacteria; Pseudomonadati; Pseudomonadota; Gammaproteobacteria; Enterobacterales; Enterobacteriaceae.